AUUCUUGCUUCAACAGUUCAUACACUAAAAUUGGAAUGAAACAGAGAAGAUUAUCAUGGCCCCUGCACAAGGAUGACAUGCAAAUUAGUGAAGUAUUCCAUAUUCUU
Small nuclear RNA from Vulpes vulpes (red fox), 107 nucleotides. Lineage: Eukaryota; Metazoa; Chordata; Mammalia; Carnivora; Canidae. The record is from Ensembl.